RNAcentral lists this long non-coding RNA (257 nucleotides) under Pan troglodytes (chimpanzee). RNAcentral describes it as "long non-coding RNA NONPTRT000787". Lineage: Eukaryota; Metazoa; Chordata; Mammalia; Primates; Hominidae. The record is from RNAcentral.
CCUGGAGAGCAACAGCAGAGUCUUCACAGUACAGGUGCAGGGGCUGCUGCAGCUGCAGGCUGGACAGUACGCUUCUGUGUUUGUGGACAAUGGCUCCGGGGCCGUCCUCACCAUCCAGGCGGGCUCCAGCUUCUCCGGGCUGCUCCUGGGCACGUGAGGGCGCUGAGGGGGGCUGGCGAGGAGCUGCCGCCGGAUCCCGGGGACCCUCCCACUGAUGCCCGUGGUCACCACAAUAAAGAGCCCUCCACCCUCCCCAC